Molecule: ribosomal RNA, 801 nt
Filed under: uncultured bacterium
Lineage: Bacteria
Description: bacterial SSU rRNA
Rfam family: Bacterial small subunit ribosomal RNA
Source: RNAcentral
AGAGUUUGAUCCUGGCUCAGGACGAACGCUGGCGGCGCGCUUAACACAUGCAAGUCGAGCGAGAACCGGUCCUUCGGGACCGGGGAAAGCGGCGAACGGGUGAGUAACACGUGGGUAAUCAACCCUUGACUCUGGGAUAGCCCGGGGAAACUCGGAUUAAUACCGGAUGGCCCAACAGCUCUUCGGGGCGGUUGGAAAAGGUAGCUUCGGCCUCCGGUCAGGGACGAGCCCGCGGCGGAUUAGCUUGUUGGUGAGGUAACGGCUCACCAAGGCGACGAUCCGUAGCUGGUCUGAGAGGACGAUCAGCCACACUGGGACUGAGACACGGCCCAGACUCCUACGGGAGGCAGCAGUGGGGAAUCUUGCACAAUGGGCGAAAGCCUGAUGCAGCGACGCCGCGUGAGGGAAGAAGGCUUUCGGGUUGUAAACCUCUUUCAGAAGGGACGAAGCUCCUCGGGUUAAUAGCCCAGAGGGUGACGGUACCUUCAGAAGAAGCCCCGGCUAACUACGUGCCAGCAGCCGCGGUAAUACGUAGGGGGCAAGCGUUGUCCGGAUUUAUUGGGCGUAAAGAGCGUGUAGGCGGCUGGGUAGGUCCGUUGUGAAAACUCGAGGCUCAACCUCGAGACGCCGAUGGAAACCAUCCAGCUAGAGUCCGGAAGAGGAGAGUGGAAUUCCUGGUGUAGCGGUGAAAUGCGCAGAUAUCAGGAAGAACACCCGUGGCUAAGGCGGCUCUCUAGUACGGUACUGACGCUGAGACGCGAAAGCGUGGGGAGCGAACAGGAUUAGAUACCCCAGUAGUCC